This is a long non-coding RNA of Clarias gariepinus (North African catfish), 1380 nucleotides long. RefSeq lists it as uncharacterized. NCBI's taxonomy places the organism in Eukaryota, Metazoa, Chordata, Actinopteri, Siluriformes, Clariidae. The record is from RefSeq and is a predicted model, not a curated record. The transcript has 5 exons.
ACAAUAAGCAAACUUGAUUCCUGUAUAGUUUAUUUUGCAAUUAUAUGAUGAAUAGAUCGGGACCCUGAAGCAUUUCACACUGGGUAUGGUAAGAGAGGAGCUGGGCUGUACCAACAGGAAAGGGCAUAGAGUGUGGAAAGGGAGAAAGGGUCUGCUCCUGGGGGAGUAUAUUUCCAUCCUGCAAUGUAAACAAUACCCAGAAGAUUUUAGGCUCUGAUUAUGUUUUAUUAACAUACAAUAUCAGAUUUCCCAUUUUGUUUUACGUUUGAGUAAAAUCUUGAGAAAUCUUGAAAGUAUGAAAUUAUUUGCUUUUGAAUCAUCUGAGCAUAAGAUCUAGUAAAAAUAUUAUAUAGCUAAUAACUGUAUAAAAUAAAAUAUUAUAUAGCUAAGACCUCAAGCUGUAACUGAAUCCAAUGCAAUUUUUUUUUUUCCCCAGCAGGCUGUAAUGCCAUCCCGGAUAAGCCCCCUUAGGGAUGCCAUUCAUCACAUUGUUUUAAAGACUGCCAAAUGUGGAAAUUGGAGGUGAAGUACAUCAAUGCAAAACAAGACAGUGAGCAUUGCAGCUAAUGCCAUGGCAGAGGAUGACUCCCAGCCUUCCGUCCUAUCAAAGACUCAAAUAGGUGACUCUACUGUUCCAAACAACACUCCUCAACAGACAGUCAGCAUUGCAGCUAAUGCCAUGGCAGAGGAUGACUCCCAGCCUUCCCUUUUGUCAAAGACUCAGAUAGAUAACGCUACUGGUCCAAACAACACUCCUCAACAGAACCAUCAAUAGUUGAGACACUUCCUCCUACUGAAAGGAAUGAGAUGCUUCCACCACCAUCCAAGAGAUACAAACCAUCACUAUUAGAUCAUGUGACACCUUCAGGGGUCAGUGCUGUGAGGCCCUUCUCAAAAGGUAAAGUGUUCCAGAGGAAGAAAACAUCCUGGCAGCAGACAGAGGUACAGGCGGUGGAAAGGCACAUCGAUUCAUCAUAUCUGGUAUUGUACCAGCAAAGAAUGAUUGUAAGAAAUGCUUAAGGGCUAAACCAGAAGCUCCAGAACCAGGACUGACAGAAUCUGUAAUUCUACGUUUAUAACCACAUUACGGCCUAAAAAAGGGGAACUGCAAUGUAAAUACUGUAGAGUGAAGUUAAUCAAUUCUGUAGUAUGGCAGGUUCUGUGGUUAAAGUUUUAAGUUUGUACUAAUUUUAUUAUAUUUGAGUUCUUUUGUGCAGUUGAACUCAAUUAAAAGCUUUUGCAAUUAAAAUGCAAGUUUAUUGUCUUGAAAUUCAAGCAAUAGUUGUUUUAUUAUAUUGCUAAUGUGGUGGAAUUCCCUUUACCACCAAAGGUCAAGUCUUCUAUACACCCAACAAUUACUUAAUAAAUAAAUUUUGUGUU